Camelina sativa (false flax) is the source of this 564-nucleotide non-coding RNA. The record is from RefSeq and is a predicted model, not a curated record. Lineage: Eukaryota; Viridiplantae; Streptophyta; Magnoliopsida; Brassicales; Brassicaceae.
CCAUUGUCUUUGACAACACCUCCCAUAGCAUCAAUCAUUUCCACCCUGAAAAACUCACCAGCCUUAACCUCUGCUACUGGUGGUAUCUCAGGAUGCCAUCUAUUAUGCAGUGGCUGGUUCUGUUGCCAUGGUUUCUUAUUCAAAUCCACCUUCACCACUACUCUUGGACUCGGUGGAGCCAUCUCAAUAUGCAGGGAAUCAGAGACUCUAAAACCUCAGGUGAUCGGUGGAAUCUCCGGGGAACCAACUGUUGUGGAGCGGCUAGUAGUCUUGCUUACAUGGCUUCUUCUUCGUCUUCCUGAGGUCAAACAUUAAAACAUUCUUUGAUCCGUACUUGCUCACUCUUGCUGGAACAGAGGAGAUGCUGUGAAUAAGCAUCCGACAGAUUUUGUCCACAAAAAUCUAAUCGAAUCUUCCUUCAUUUGACUUAAAUUUUACCUUUUGUUUUUGUGUUGUUUCUUUUCUUUUGUGUGGUUGUGGCUUACACGCUUGGCGUCAUCAAGAUUUCCUUUUGGUGUCUACUAUCAUAUUUUGUUUAUUAUUAGUCCUAUUUUAUAACUUUUA